GACGAACGCUGGCGGCGUGCUUAACACAUGCAAGUCGAACGGAAAGGCCCUGCUUUUGUGGGGUGCUCGAGUGGCGAACGGGUGAGUAACACGUGAGUAACCUGCCCUUGACUUUGGGAUAACUUCAGGAAACUGGGGCUAAUACCGGAUAGGAGCUCCUGCUGCAUGGUGGGGGUUGGAAAGUUUCGGCGGUUGGGGAUGGACUCGCGGCUUAUCAGCUUGUUGGUGGGGUAGUGGCUACCAAGGCUUUGACGGGUAGCCGGCCUGAGAGGGUGACCGGCCACAUUGGGACUGAGAUACGGCCCAGACUCCUACGGGAGGCAGCAGUGGGGAAUAUUGCACAAUGGGCGGAAGCCUGAUGCAGCAACGCCGCGUGCGGGAUGGCGGCCUUCGGGUUGUAAACCGCUUUCGCCUGUGACGAAGCGUGAGUGACGGUAAUGGGUAAAGAAGCACCGGCUAACUACGUG
RNAcentral lists this ribosomal RNA (467 nucleotides) under uncultured bacterium. RNAcentral's name for it is "partial 16S ribosomal RNA". It matches the Rfam family "Bacterial small subunit ribosomal RNA", at positions 28 to 507 of the family's 1533-position model. The record is from RNAcentral.